UAGGGAAUAUUGGGCAAUGGAAGGAAUUCUGACCCAGCCAUGCCGCGUGCAGGAAUACAGUCCUAUGGACUUUAAACUGCUUUUAUUAUAGAGUAACCUGGGGGACGAGUCCCCCACUGCAAGUAUAUAAUGAAUAAGCAUCGGCUAACUCCGUGCCAGCAGCCGCGGUAAUACGGGGGAUGCAAGCGUUAUCCGGAUUUAUUGGGUUUAAAGGGUGCGCAGGCUGAUCGGUAAGUCAUGGGUGAAAAGUCACUGCUUAACAGUGAUCGUGCCUAUGAUACUGCCGGACUAGAGUUUAAGAGGUGUAACUGGAAUGUGAUGUGUAGCGGUGAAAUGCUUAGAUAUUGCACAGAACACCGAUUGCGAAGGCAGCUUACCAAGCUAUUAUUGACGCUGAGGCACGAAAGCGUGGGGAUCGAACAGG
Molecule: ribosomal RNA, 424 nt
Filed under: uncultured prokaryote
Description: bacterial SSU rRNA
Rfam family: Bacterial small subunit ribosomal RNA
Source: RNAcentral